AUCUCAGUUCAGACUGCAGGCUGCAACUCGCCUGCACGAAGUCGGAAUUGCUAGUAAUCGCGGAUCAGCAUGCCGCGGUGAAUACGUUCCCGGGCCUUGUACACGCCGCCCGUCACACCAUGGGAGCCGGUAAUACCCGAAGUCAGUAGUCCAACCUCGUGAGGACGCUGCCGAAGGUAGGAUUGGCGACUGGGGUGAAGUCGUAACAAGGUAUC
Molecule: ribosomal RNA, 215 nt
Filed under: uncultured bacterium
Lineage: Bacteria
Description: partial 16S ribosomal RNA
Rfam family: Bacterial small subunit ribosomal RNA
Source: RNAcentral